UCAUUGGUGGUUCAGUGGUAGACUUCUUGCCUUCCCAUGCAGGAGACCCAGGUUCGAUUCCAGGCCAGUGCA
RNAcentral lists this transfer RNA (72 nucleotides) under Loxodonta africana (African savanna elephant). It matches the Rfam family "tRNA". Rfam says of the family: Transfer RNA (tRNA) molecules are approximately 80 nucleotides in length. Their secondary structure includes four short double-helical elements and three loops (D, anti-codon, and T loops). Further hydrogen bonds mediate the characteristic L-shaped molecular structure. tRNAs have two regions of fundamental functional importance: the anti-codon, which is responsible for specific mRNA codon recognition, and the 3' end, to which the tRNAs corresponding amino acid is attached (by aminoacyl-tRNA synthetases). tRNAs cope with the degeneracy of the genetic code in two manners: having more than one tRNA (with a specific anti-codon) for a particular amino acid; and 'wobble' base-pairing, i.e. permitting non-standard base-pairing at the 3rd anti-codon position. Lineage: Eukaryota; Metazoa; Chordata; Mammalia; Proboscidea; Elephantidae. The record is from Rfam by way of RNAcentral.